GACGAACGCUGGCGGCGUGCUUAACACAUGCAAGUCGAGCGGUAAGGCCCUUUCGGGGGUACACGAGCGGCGAACGGGUGAGUAACACGUGGGUGACCUGCCCUUAGCUCUGGGAUAAGCCUGGGAAACUGGGUCUAAUACCGGAUAUGACUCCAUGACGCAUGUUGUGGGGUGGAAAGCCUUGUGCGGCUAGGGAUGGGCCCGCGGCCUAUCAGCUUGUUGGUGGGGUGAUGGCCUACCAAGGCGACGACGGGUGGCCGGCCUGAGAGGGCGACCGGCCACACUGGGACUGAGACACGGCCCAGACUCCUACGGGAGGCAGCAGUGGGGAAUCUUGCGCAAUGGGCGAAAGCCUGACGCAGCGACGCCGCGUGAGGGAUGACGGCCUGG
Molecule: ribosomal RNA, 390 nt
Filed under: uncultured bacterium
Lineage: Bacteria
Description: bacterial SSU rRNA
Rfam family: Bacterial small subunit ribosomal RNA
Source: RNAcentral